GCCUCUUGUCAAGGGAAGACGAUGGUCAACGCGGAAGUCACUGGUGACCCGCUUGUAUAACGUCGACGCAUCGCCCCGUAUCAUAUCAGAGCAGGAAGGGGAUCAUCGCGGUCGUGUUUUUCUUGUGAGCCGCUGUGAGCGCCGCCUGGAUUACUGUUUAGCUCGCAGCAGCGUCGGAUGUACUGAUCCACACUUUGGCAAGACCAGCGGAUCGCUGCACCAGCCUGCUAAACCACUGUCUACUGUUUUUCAGGGCCAGAGAAUAAGUGGAAAGGACGGAUUGAUGCAGCAGAGUGCAAGCCUCUAACCAAACAUGUUCGAAAGAAGUACUCUAGGAGGGAAAUCUGCCUGGCGGCGACGGCGUGCACAGGCUGUGCGAUAGCGUCAAGCUGUGGCGAGGAGGAAUUGCAGUAUUCGUCUCUGCUCGUCGGAUAACGUGGCAGGCUGCUAUCGGACUCCAGUUGGCGCUAUCAACGGACACACCCACUGACUUAGAAUGCGUUUCCGCACAUCUUCCUGACGCAACCUGUGCUUACAUCGACGUCGACGCGCAUUUUCCUGCCGUGGUGUCAUCACCAAGGCUCAUCUUCCGUGCGCCAACCACAUCGACCACUGCAUCAUCCAUCAAGGCACAUUUCGACGGCUUCGCUGGAAACUUCACCUUCAGUGGGCACCGGAGCAGCACUUUCGGAAUGGCCCGUAACCUCUGCUUCUGUCCUGUGCAGGGAGGUUCCCGGUGUUGGGCGACCUGACACUACCUGUGGGCUUCAAGGACGUGCUCAUGGACUUCCCUCACAGUGUUCAACUGCCAAGGACCAAGCUUACGCGGAACGGACAUGCUGACGCUGCUGGGAAACUCUGGCGCCCCGGUGCUAAAGAAAGAUGGCUAGGGUUGCUGAAACCUGACCGGCCAGACACCCACCAGGGCGGCUGCGUGAAUGCAACGCUGGGCACUGUGCCUCGGAGUCUACACAUACAAGCUUCCGUACGUUCCUGGGAAACAAAUGCCCUGCUCAGGUGCUCUCAGCCGACCAACACAGCAAGUCACCGGAGACGGAGGUCAAGGUCCAUCUGAGGAGAGCGAUGACUGGAGAAUGCCUGCAGACAGCAGCGUGUGCAUCAACAAUUACGGACAUCGGAGAAGUCAACCUCUGGUCGUGUCAAAUCGGCGACAGGAGCACGGACAGCAAACGCAGAGACUCCCACUGCCAACGUCAAGGGGCACGUCAAUCACAUACGCCAUCGCUCCAAUUCAUAACCAAGGAACCCGUUCACUGAGGCGACUAUUGCGGUCCAGACUUCAACCAGAAGCCAGGUACAAGCACAGCCACCAAUGCAACCACUCCCUUGGAAGCGGCCGUCACGUAUAAUUAUCUAGCUAGUGGCCAAAUUGCAGGAAGCAACAUUCAAUCUCGCAACACUACUCCCAACUGCCUCGAGUCCGGCCGAAGCGUCGCAGCAAGUCUUGCGUCAGUCAACAAGGCAGUGCAAGAUAGUGCAGCUGUCAACAAGGCAGUGCAAGAUAGUGCAGCUGUUCCCGCUAUGAGAAGACAGUUCUAUGUCUGCACCAUACCAGAGUUCUGUGCAUGUGCAAUACGCUUCGUUACGUUUUCCUCACUCCCAUUUCCCGUCCCACUUCGGGACUAAAUGCAAUCAUAGGCCUCCAAAUAAACGAUUUUUGUGUUUGA
Molecule: RNA transcript, 1688 nt
Organism: Dermacentor albipictus
Lineage: Eukaryota; Metazoa; Arthropoda; Arachnida; Ixodida; Ixodidae
Source: RefSeq, a predicted model, not a curated record